This 28-nucleotide non-coding RNA is filed under the name Cricetulus griseus (Chinese hamster). Lineage: Eukaryota; Metazoa; Chordata; Mammalia; Rodentia; Cricetidae. The record is from RNAcentral.
GUAGAGCAUCAGACUUUUAAUCUGAGGG